RNAcentral lists this ribosomal RNA (301 nucleotides) under uncultured bacterium. Its description in RNAcentral is "partial 16S ribosomal RNA". It matches the Rfam family "Bacterial small subunit ribosomal RNA", at positions 509 to 807 of the family's 1533-position model. The record is from RNAcentral.
CAGUCGCCGCGGUAAAACGUAGGUGGCAAGCGUUGUCCGGAAUUAUUGGGCGUAAAGCGCACGUAGGCGGUUAUUCAAGUCAGAGGUGAAAGCCCGGGGCUCAACCCCGGAACUGCCUUUGAAACUAGAUGACUGGAAUCCUGGAGAGGUCAGUGGAAUUCCGAGUGUAGAGGUGAAAUUCGUAGAUAUUCGGAAGAACACCAGUGGCGAAGGCGACUGACUGGACAAGUAUUGACGCUGAGGUGCGAAAGCGUGGGGAGCAAACAGGAUUAGAUACCCCCGUAGUCCCUGUCUCUUAUAC